RNAcentral lists this ribosomal RNA (1372 nucleotides) under uncultured bacterium. RNAcentral's name for it is "bacterial SSU rRNA". It matches the Rfam family "Bacterial small subunit ribosomal RNA", at positions 28 to 1381 of the family's 1533-position model. The record is from RNAcentral.
GAUGAACGCUGGCGGCGUGCCUAAUACAUGCAAGUCGAGCGAACGGACGAGAAGCUUGCUUCUCUGAUGUUAGCGGCGGACGGGUGAGUAGCACGUGGAUAACCUACCUAUAAGACUGGGAUAACUUCGGGAAACCGGAGCUAAUACCGGAUAAUAUUUUGAACCGCAUGGUUCAAAAGUGAAAGACGGUCUUGCUGUCACUUAUAGAUGGAUCCGCGCUGCAUUAGCUAGUUGGUAAGGUAACGGCUUACCAAGGCAACGAUGCAUAGCCGACCUGAGAGGGUGAUCGGCCACACUGGAACUGAGACACGGUCCAGACUCCUACGGGAGGCAGCAGUAGGGAAUCUUCCGCAAUGGGCGAAAGCCUGACGGAGCAACGCCGCGUGAGUGAUGAAGGUCUUCGGAUCGUAAAACUCUGUUAUUAGGGAAGAACAUAUGUGUAAGUAACUGUGCACAUCUUGACGGUACCUAAUCAGAAAGCCACGGCUAACUACGUGCCAGCAGCCGCGGUAAUACGUAGGUGGCAAGCGUUAUCCGGAAUUAUUGGGCGUAAAGCGCGCGUAGGCGGUUUUUUAAGUCUGAUGUGAAAGCCCACGGCUCAACCGUGGAGGGUCAUUGGAAACUGGAAGACUUGAGUGCAGAAGAGGAAAGUGGAAUUCCAUGUGUAGCGGUGAAAUGCGCAGAGAUAUGGAGGAACACCAGUGGCGAGGGCGACUUUCUGGUCUGUAACUGACGCUGAUGUGCGAAAGCGUGGGGAUCAAACAGGAUUAGAUACCCUGGUAGUCCACGCCGUAAACGAUGAGUGCUAAGUGUUAGGGGGUUUCCGCCCCUUAGUGCUGCAGCUAACGCAUUAAGCACUCCGCCUGGGGAGUACGACCGCAAGGUUGAAACUCAAAGGAAUUGACGGGGACCCGCACAAGCGGUGGAGCAUGUGGUUUAAUUCGAAGCAACGCGAAGAACCUUACCAAAUCUUGACAUCCUUUGACAACUCUAGAGAUAGAGCCUUCCCCUUCGGGGGACAAAGUGACAGGUGGUGCAUGGUUGUCGUCAGCUCGUGUCGUGAGAUGUUGGGUUAAGUCCCGCAACGAGCGCAACCCUUAAGCUUAGUUGCCAUCAUUAAGUUGGGCACUCUAAGUUGACUGCCGGUGACAAACCGGAGGAAGGUGGGGAUGACGUCAAAUCAUCAUGCCCCUUAUGAUUUGGGCUACACACGUGCUACAAUGGACAAUACAAAGGGCAGCGAAACCGCGAGGUCAAGCAAAUCCCAUAAAGUUGUUCUCAGUUCGGAUUGUAGUCUGCAACUCGACUACAUGAAGCUGGAAUCGCUAGUAAUCGUAGAUCAGCAUGCUACGGUGAAUACGUUCCCGGGUCU